RNAcentral lists this ribosomal RNA (497 nucleotides) under uncultured bacterium. RNAcentral's name for it is "partial 16S ribosomal RNA". It matches the Rfam family "Bacterial small subunit ribosomal RNA", at positions 28 to 507 of the family's 1533-position model. The record is from RNAcentral.
GACGAACGCUGGCGGCGUGCCUAAUACAUGCAAGUUGAGCGAUGAAGAUUGGUGCUUGCACCAAUUUGAAGAGCAGCGAACGGGUGAGUAACGCGUGGGGAAUCUGCCUUUGAGCGGGGGACAACAUUUGGAAACGAAUGCUAAUACCGCAUAACAACUUUAAACAUAAGUUUUAAGUUUGAAAGAUGCAAUUGCAUCACUCAAAGAUGAUCCCGCGUUGUAUUAGCUAGUUGGUGAGGUAAAGGCUCACCAAGGCGAUGAUACAUAGCCGACCUGAGAGGGUGAUCGGCCACAUUGGGACUGAGACACGGCCCAAACUCCUACGGGAGGCAGCAGUAGGGAAUCUUCGGCAAUGGACGAAAGUCUGGCCGAGCAACGCCGCGUGAGGGAAGAAGGUUUUCGGAUCGUAAAACUCUGUUGGUAGAGAAGAACGUUGGUGAGAGUGGAAAGCUCAUCAAGUGACGGUAACUACCCAGAAAGGGACGGCUAACUACGUG